AACUACGUUUAACGUCACCCGCGCGCGUAGGUUUAUGAGAAAUUCGUCUUUGAAAAAAACAAACAAUUCGGAAUUCCGUAUGUCUGUUCCGGUUUGGUUCUACAAUUAGCGACUGAAUUCUGCUUCCCGUAGUGACAGAAAAUGUGCUUUGAUAAAGGCAGUUCGUUUAUUAUUAAAUAAAACUAGUGAAUUAAAGAGUUUGGGACCAUAAAUGGAGAAGCUUACUGAAGAUAGGGCCUUUCAAGUGAAGGAGAGUAAGGAAAGAAGUUGGGGUAUUCCAAGACGUGAAGAAUCCUGUCUUUAGUGUGGAAUUCAAGAUAUUGAUCAACUAUUCCCACAAGAAGCAUUUACCUCCAGAGUACCAUGGACGUGUGGCAAUAUAAAUCCAAAGGACAACUGAGGCCUAGAUAAAAGCCACUUUCCUGCACAUUCAG
Molecule: long non-coding RNA, 434 nt
Organism: Saccostrea cuccullata (small rock oyster)
Lineage: Eukaryota; Metazoa; Mollusca; Bivalvia; Ostreida; Ostreidae
Exons: 3
Source: RefSeq, a predicted model, not a curated record